UACGUAGGUGGCAAGCGUUGUCCGGAAUCACUGGGCGUAAAGCGCGCGCAGGCGGCGAUCUACGUCUGGGGUGAAAGCCCGGAGCUCAACUCCGGGACUGCCUUGGAUACGGGAUCGCUUGAGAAUUGGAGAGGCAAGGGGAAUUCCACGUGUAGCGGUGAAAUGCGUAGAUAUGUGGAGGAACACCUGUGGCGAAGGCGGCUCACUGGACCGGAACUGACGCUGAGGCGCGAAAGCGUGGGGAGCAAACAGG
RNAcentral lists this ribosomal RNA (253 nucleotides) under uncultured bacterium. Its description in RNAcentral is "partial 16S ribosomal RNA". It matches the Rfam family "Bacterial small subunit ribosomal RNA", at positions 524 to 776 of the family's 1533-position model. The record is from RNAcentral.